UUGAGCUUGACUCUAGUCCGA
Molecule: small nuclear RNA, 21 nt
Filed under: Arabidopsis thaliana (thale cress)
Lineage: Eukaryota; Viridiplantae; Streptophyta; Magnoliopsida; Brassicales; Brassicaceae
Description: snRNA_03606
Source: RNAcentral